UACGUAGGGUGCGAGCGUUGUCCGGAAUUAUUGGGCGUAAAGAGCUCGUAGGCGGUCUGUCGCGUCGGAUGUGAAAACCCAGGGCUCAACCCUGGGCCUGCAUUCGAUACGGGCAGACUAGAGUGUGGCAGGGGAGACUGGAAUUCCUGGUGUAGCGGUGAAAUGCGCAGAUAUCAGGAGGAACACCGGUGGCGAAGGCGGGUCUCUGGGCCAAUACUGACGCUGAGGAGCGAAAGCGUGGGGAGCGAACAGG
Molecule: ribosomal RNA, 253 nt
Filed under: uncultured bacterium
Lineage: Bacteria
Description: partial 16S ribosomal RNA
Rfam family: Bacterial small subunit ribosomal RNA
Source: RNAcentral